UUAAGCAUAUCAAUAAGCGGAGGAAAAGAAACCAACAGGGAUUGCCUUAGUAACGGCGAGUGAAGCGGCAAAAGCUCAAAUUUGAAAUCUGGCACCUUCGGUGUCCGAGUUGUAAUUUGAAGAAGGUAACUUUGGAGUCAGCUCUUGUCUAUGUUCCUUGGAACAGGACGUCACAGAGGGUGAGAAUCCCGUGCGAUGAGAUGUCUGAUUCUACGUAAAGUGCUUUCGAAGAGUCGAGUUGUUUGGGAAUGCAGCUCUAAGUGGGUGGUAAAUUCCAUCUAAAGCUAAAUAUUGGCGAGAGACCGAUAGCGAACAAGUACAGUGAUGGAAAGAUGAAAAGAACUUUGAAAAGAGAGUGAAAAAGUACGUGAAAUUGUUGAAAGGGAAGGGUUUGAGAUCAGACUUGGUAUUUUGUAUGUCUUG
Molecule: ribosomal RNA, 423 nt
Filed under: Scheffersomyces stipitis
Lineage: Eukaryota; Fungi; Ascomycota; Pichiomycetes; Serinales; Debaryomycetaceae
Description: eukaryotic LSU rRNA
Rfam family: Eukaryotic large subunit ribosomal RNA
Source: RNAcentral